UCCAUCUUUUAUGCUUUUCCAUUGACUUAUCUCCCUUGGGUAAGAUCUCAAACAUGUCAGCUCCCAGUGAUGGUUUGGCAGACAAAUGUUUACAGUGAAGUUUGUGACUUUAAUAAUCUAGGAUGAGCAUGUGGGCUAUCCCAGCCUUAUACAUCUACAUAUUACAAACUAUUUAAGAUAUCUGAAUGCACUAAAGACCAAAAUAGCAUUUUCAAAAAAAAUAAUUACUGCCAAGAAAUUUGACAAUCAUGACAAUAAUUUAGUGAAUAAACAUGAUAAAUAUUGAUUGGAAAAAUAAGUCCAUGAACAGCAAAAAGUGUUUUUAGAUUUCAACGAGCAAAACAAAAAAAAAAGUGAGCGAGUGGAACCACCUUGCUCGCACCAAAAUUGAGAUUGAGAGUGUCAAAACUGCUCUGGCGCACCAUCAAUAAAUCAACGACACUCUCUCUACCGUGGUAUUGAAACCAGCAUUGGUAACCAAACAUAUUCAUACAGAUACAGACUACCAUUCAUCUACAUUUAGGAAGUCUGAGUAAUACUGAAAACUAUGGUGUAGAAUUUCCAACAGGACUCCUUAUUUUAUAUAAGACAAGGAGUGGUUUAUUUUCCCAUGGUUGUUACAUCAUCUUGUCUUUGAAUAUGCUCGAAGUACAGGGACUUUUAUGGAAUUCAUUGACAUGAUAGUCAAGCAAGAUGUCAACAUCUCGUCCAACCCUCUUCCAGCAAAGCCAAAGCUGACCAAGGAUCUUCACCCUUUCAAAACAGGCUGUAUACAGGACGAGUUAUUCCAGUAGGAACAGGGCUAUAUAUAUGCAAGCAAUGCUCAAUUAAGAUGAAUUUUUGUAAAAGUGACAAUAGCCAGGUCAAACUAAAUACAUGUAUAGAAGAAGAUAUUGAUCUAGACUCGCAGCUAACCUUUCAGUCAGUGUCAACAACAACUGAACUUUCACAGCAGUCAACAUCAGAUUGGGAGACUGAUAAUGCUUCUAACAGAAACAAUUUCAACCAACCAAACAAGCAACAGAAACUUUCCAACUUUAAAACAUCAGUUAAAUCUUCCAUGGGAUGAUGUCUCAAAAAAUAACAGUUCAUCAUUUAUGGAGAUUUUAAUGUUAUGGUUUUUCUUUUACAAGAAAGUUAAUGUACACUUGUUUUAUAGUAAAACCUAUAGCCGUUCAAGUAUAAAAAAACACAUUCAACUAUAUUGAAAUUUGAAGAUUCAUAUGACUUAUUUUAAUUCUGUUAUCUCCGAGGAUGUGAUGUAGAGCAUUAUAGGUACAGUAAUCUUAACAGCUAUACAAUUUCAUUCAAAAUUCUUUAUAAAUUUUGCACUGGUAUAUAUAGACUAAGUAAUUUGUUUUUCGUCUAGUUAUGGGAUUUUUUUUUAAAAGCAUUUAUGAUUUUCAUGUUUGUAUUGACCACAUUGCAGCAACAUAGAUAUAGGUACCUGGCAAAUCUUGCCUUGUUAGCAUACUAGGCUCAAAGGGUCAUAAAAAAAUUUCCAUCACUAAGUGUCUGUUAAAAUCAUCUGUUUACAGUUUUCACUUUUAAACCAUCAUCUUAAUAACUUUAGAAGAAGUGUCAUACAUAUAUAUAUGUAUACAAAAUUUAAAAACUUUUCAAUAUAUGUAUAUAUAUAUAUAUUGAUAAAAACUAUCAACAUGACAAGAUCUAAAUACCCAAAUUUUUUCUGAAAAAUUGGACAUAACAUCUAUGAGCUAUUGUCCCUGAAAUGUGUAAAUUUACAAAUUUUCACAGUUUUCUGCUACUAUCCGACAACUAUAUCAAUAUAUUAUAAGAAUAAAUUGCAAAAGUGGUCAGAAGAAACUUUUUUUUUACAGUCUGAACUUAUUCUGAAUUGUUUAACUUCUAAUUUAAAUUGAUUGCGUUUGAAAUAUGUGUUUUUUAUCGUUUUAGGUUCACAAUUUGUCAAUACGAUCUAUUUCGGCUCCUGGGAGCCUCUAGAUUUAUAAUGAAUAAUUUGUAUUUAUGUAUGAUUAUUUUCUUAAUGUAUUAAAUGAAACAUUAAUUAUUCUU
Mytilus californianus (California mussel) is the source of this 2037-nucleotide long non-coding RNA. RefSeq lists it as uncharacterized. The transcript has 3 exons. The record is from RefSeq and is a predicted model, not a curated record. NCBI's taxonomy places the organism in Eukaryota, Metazoa, Mollusca, Bivalvia, Mytilida, Mytilidae.